RNAcentral lists this small RNA (491 nucleotides) under Pan troglodytes (chimpanzee). RNAcentral describes it as "processed transcript". Lineage: Eukaryota; Metazoa; Chordata; Mammalia; Primates; Hominidae. The record is from RNAcentral.
GGGGAGGAGCAUCGCUUGUCAUGAGCUGGUUGCCGGGGCGGGGGCGGAGGCGGAGGCAGAGGCGGAGGCGCUUUGAAAGCCGUGAUUGUGUGGCACUGGACGGGGAAUCAAGAGACCCGGUUUCUAAUCCCUGCUCUGUCACUAACAAGCUGCGUGAUCUUCGGAAAAAAGUAAUCCUUUUGGAAAGCUGGAAACGUAGUCCAGUAAGAUUCCCAUUGCUCAAAAAAUUUUUGGCAUUGAAUUUUUGUAAUUACCUUCAGAAUUCACAGCACAUUUUUUGAAUAUUUUUAAUGGUAGUUAAUUCUCAUCUUCUUAAGUUGGAUUUCAUUUCUGCAAGCUGCUAACAGGUCCUUAUAACCGAGACAAGUGAAUGAAGUGGGUGUUAAAGUCACUGUUUGGGAUAAAAAAUGAAGUGUGAUUAUUUUCAUAUUUUUAGAUUUUUUAUAGUGUGUGGUUUAUAGAAAGACUCCAGGAAUAUUCUGUGCUGUGGU